UGGGGAAUAUUGCACAAUGGGCGCAAGCCUGAUGCAGCCAUGCCGCGUGUGUGAAGAAGGCCUUCGGGUUGUAAAGCACUUUCAGCGAGGAGGAAGGUGGUGAGCUUAAUACGCUCAUCAAUUGACGUUACUCGCAGAAGAAGCACCGGCUAACUCCGUGCCAGCAGCCGCGGUAAUACGGAGGGUGCAAGCGUUAAUCGGAAUUACUGGGCGUAAAGCGCACGCAGGCGGUUUGUUAAGUCAGAUGUGAAAUCCCCGGGCUCAACCUGGGAACUGCAUUUGAAACUGGCAAGCUAGAGUCUCGUAGAGGGGGGUAGAAUUCCAGGUGUAGCGGUGAAAUGCGUAGAGAUCUGGAGGAAUACCGGUGGCGAAGGCGGCCCCCUGGACGAAGACUGACGCUCAGGUGCGAAAGCGUGGGGCAGCAAACAGGAUUAGAUACCCUGGUAGUCCACGCUGUAAACGAUGUCGAUUUUGGAGGUUGUGCCCUUGAGGCGUGGCUUCCGGAGCUAACGCGUUAAAGUCGACCGCCUGGGGGAGUUACGG
RNAcentral lists this ribosomal RNA (543 nucleotides) under uncultured bacterium. RNAcentral's name for it is "partial 16S ribosomal RNA". It matches the Rfam family "Bacterial small subunit ribosomal RNA", at positions 355 to 885 of the family's 1533-position model. The record is from RNAcentral.